RNAcentral lists this ribosomal RNA (119 nucleotides) under Triticum aestivum (bread wheat). Lineage: Eukaryota; Viridiplantae; Streptophyta; Magnoliopsida; Poales; Poaceae. The record is from RNAcentral.
GUAUGCGAUCAUAGCAGCACUAAAGCACCGGAUCCCAUCAGAACUCCGAAGUUGAGCGUGCUUGGGCGAGAGUAGUACUAGGAUGGGUGACCUCCUGGGAAGUCCUCGUGUUGCAUUCC